Prionailurus viverrinus (fishing cat) is the source of this 6963-nucleotide RNA transcript. It is a transcript of the gene named FA core complex associated protein 100, with no coding region annotated. Lineage: Eukaryota; Metazoa; Chordata; Mammalia; Carnivora; Felidae. The transcript is spliced from 9 exons. The record is from RefSeq and is a predicted model, not a curated record.
CCCUGCCCGGGCUCCCCGGCACUGACUUGUGUGUGGUGUGUCACCCGGUGGAAGAGGAGAGCGUGGCCUCCUUCGGGCGCUUCCCUGCCUGUCAGCCACGUGGCUGCUCCCAGGUCUCUCUGUCUGGGGACAGGUGCUGGUGUCAGGCAGCAGGUGAAGGACGCAGUCUGGAAGCCCCUCCACUGCACAGGUGUAGGGGUGUCAAGCCGGGAGGUGACAGGCUGCCUGUCCUGAAUUGUCGCAUGAUGGCGGCCAGGAGGCACUCCCUCUUGGGGCUCAGGUGCCCGCCUUCACACACACACCUUUCUGCACCACCCAGAAAGGUGGGCCUUGGGCCACGUGACUCAUUGCUCCCUGGACAAGUAUAUAGAAAACGGCGCCUGCUGACGUCGGGGGGCCCUAGGUGCCUCUGGGCCUGGCUGCUCCAAGCAGCGUGCGGUUCACACUCCCAACCACGGCCUCCGAGUUGGGGUCACUGCCAUACCCGGCCCUUGGUGCGCCUCAGAAUGCUGGACUUGCUGGAUCUGAGGAGAGCCACCCCCACCUCAGGAAACCAAGCAGAGGGGACGUGCUGCCUGUGAGGGGGCCCAACAGGGCCUGGGGCUGCCCUGCACACACCAGGGAUUCGCCCUCCCCCCCCCCCCCCCCCCAGGCUGGCAGUGUCAUUUGACCUUAGGAAGAUUGAACUGCCCCCAGAUUUGGCACAGAGAGCACUGGCGGGAGCGUGCACCUUGCACACCCACGAGAGGCUGCUGGCCUUCAGCCCUAUGUCCGUGUCUGUAAACUCCAGGGGUCAGCACCCAGGGCCCCCCUCUGUUUAUAUAGGGCAUUGCUCAUAAAUCCUCACAUCACAGUGUGGGCUUCCCCGGCUUGGGGCCAGGAUCCUGUUAGGCCUCCUGAGCAGAGGGAGAGGGACAGAAGAGUGACCUGGCCCAACACCGCCUGCAGGGUCGUCCUGGCCAGCCAAGGGUUUGGCCGUCCAGGCCAGACCUGGGCGGGGUGUGGGAAGGCCUGCCCAGCUCAACCCACCUCCUAGAUCCACUUCCCCAUGUGCUCAUUUUCUCUAGGACAGCUCCUCGGUGUUGGGGAACAGCCUGGGAGGACUGGGAUGGGAGUUAAUAUGAGCGGGUAGUUCAAGAGGAAUAGUGGUCAGACUGGCAGACAGGCCUUGGGCCCCGGGCACAGGAAAGGAGCCUGCCCCCACUUCCCAAUUAUGAAGGCUUAUGGGGCACCUGGGUGGCUCAGUCCCAACUUCAGCUCAGGCCAUGAUCUCUUUCCAGCCCAGACUUCACCUGGGGUCAAAAAGGGCGAACGACAGACUGCGAGGGUCACGUUCACGUUGUGUUCAACCCAGCACCCAGAAACCAUGGAGCGGUGGCUGUCCGCUGCCCGGGGCGGAGCGGGGGGGGGGGGGGGGGGGCCGCCUCAGCAAAGCCAAUUAGAACUGCUACCGGUUGUGCAUUUUGGCAGACACGGCAGCCUCGGUGAUGUCAGUUUAACUUCCACGCCCGGGGAACGGUUAACGUACUGUGCUAGGCUGCACCCCGCAGGUGCCUCGCUCACUCCUUGGUCUCUGACCUUGGAGAUUUUCCCGUUGGCAAGGAGUGGCAUGUAUUUGACCUUCCCGUCUGCAGGCACCUUUCAGGGACUCUCUGGGCCUCCUGACUCAUCCAGAGGAGAGCUCUUGGCUCUUCUCUGGUGAGCACUUCAAAGCCCCAGGGAAUGUGGAGAGAGAGGGGCAGCCAGGGUGGUGGAGACGAGAGGUGUCUCGCCCUGGCUUCACUUCACCCCCAAACCGAUUUCUGGUUAGCUAUACCCUCCUCUUCAUGAUCCUUUGCCCCCAUUGUCCAGCCAAACUAAUACACACCCUGAACAACUCGUGGCCAGGAUCGGAGGGAGGGGCACCUCUGUCCAUGUUUAGCUCAAACCCUGGGGUUGGGGUGGGCUCAGAGGGAGGUGACCCGUCCUCGGGCCUGGAACGCCCGGGCUGCGGGAGCCCUGGACUCCUCCAAGAAGUCCAACCGCUCCCCGGAACCCCACAAAAUCGCAUUAGGAGUGGACCGUCUGCCCAGAGGAGGCGGUACGCUGGCCCCGGCCCACCCACCCCCUCCCCGGGGUUCCGGCCCCUGCCUGGCUCCACGGCGUACGGCGUACAGGGGAGGCGCGACGCGACUUCGGUCCCGGCCGACCAGCCCCGAGGCACCGCACCGGCGUGGGAGGUGCCGCGGCAUUCCCCGCUUCGAGGGCGCCUGGGGCCGCGCGGCGCACGGGCGGGAUUCCCUGGGGUUCCCCGCGUUUGGCUUUACACACGCGGGCCCUUUGCCAAGCCGUUGUGCCCACUAGUUUCCUCGCAGGGGCGGGGCCUCCCAGCCUGCCACCCAAACUGGGACCCGGCACCCGGCGCGGAGCCGGAGCCGCCCCCGCCCCCGGGCCCCGCCCCCGGGCCCCGCCCCCGGGCCCCGCCCCUGCCCCCGCGCCCCGCCCCCGUCCGGACCGCUUUACGGCGGAGGUCGCGCCGCCACGUGGGCGGCCGUAAAGCGCCCCGCCCCCCGAGCCUCCGCCGGCACCAUGGCCGGCUUCGCGCCGCGGGUCCAGUACUUGGCGGGCUUCCGCUGCCCGCUCGGAGGCCUGGCGGCGGGCAAGCCCCGCGUGCUGUGCCGCGGCGCCGAGAUCUUCGUGUCCACCGGGAGCGAGCUCGUCUACGUCUACGACCAGGAGGGGAAUCUGCUGACCGCCGUCUUCAGGUUUCCUGGUCGGGUGUGGCACCUGGAGCUCUCGGCCCUUGGCGGGGUGCUCUACGUGUUGUGCGCCCAGAAAGGCGUCUACUGCGUGUCGUUGGACCAGGCGAGCAGGUCUGUGAGCCAAGGUGACGGGGAUGACAGCGACAAGAAUGAUGAGGACAGUGAGGACGGCGAGCCCCCUUGCCCCGUGAUCCCCGUGGACCCAGAUGCCUGCAUCCUCCCUGACGCCACACUGUGUGCUUUCGUUGUGCUCGACGACAUACUGGUCACCCUGGCACAGGGCCCUGCCCAGUGGAAGGUACAGCUGUUCCGGUGUCACCGUCCAGGGGAGGACGCCAGGCCCCCAGGCCAGAUCGGCGAGGUGGAGUUGUCCACUUCCAGCCCUCUGGCUGGGAGCCUUGGGGAGCCCACAGCCCCCCACUUCCUCCCAGUGCUGUGCUGUGUGUCACCACCGGGCUGCAGCGGGCUGUGUGGCCGUAUGCCGGGCUCUGGGGGCUUCACGCUGGAACGGGCCCUCUUCGGGCUGCUCUUUGGAGUUGACGCCUCCCUCUUGGAAUCACCUGUGAUCCUCUGUGGUCUCCCUGAUGGCCAGCUCUGCUGUGUGGUCUUGAAGACUCUGGUCACCUCCAGGUUGGCCCCUGGUGACCCAAAGGCCCUUGUCAAGAUUCUCCAUCACCUGGAGGAACCCGUCGUUUCCAUCGGAGUGUUGAGGACAGAGUCCUCGGGCGAGAACGUGGAGGACACACACCCAGACUGCCUAGUGGCGCUGGGUCGCCACGGCCGGGUGCUGGCCAUCAAGGCCACCUGGGACGAGGCGGGAGAUCUGGUGCCGGAGCUGCAGGAGUACCGGCUCCCAGGGCCUGUGCUGUGUGCAGCCUGUGGCGGAGGCAGCCGUGUGUACCACAGCACCCCCUCGGACCUCUGUGUCGUGGACCUGGCUCGGGGAGGUGCCCCCCAGGACCCCGUGCAGCCUGACAGGGGCCCGGGAAGCCUGCCCUCUCUGCUGUGUCCAGCCAGCUUAAGUGUGUGCAGCGUCGUCACGCUCUCCGUGUUGUCCGAGGUGCCUGAAGGUGGCACCAGGCUCCUGGCCCUGUCUGCCAGGGGCCGCCUGAUGACCUGUAGCCUGGACCUGAGCUCCGAGGCGCCCUGCCCCGCCAGAGCGACAGUGGUGAACACUGGCCAGAAAAUUAAGGAGCUGCUCUCUGGAAUCGGCACCGUCUCUGAGAGGGUGUCUUCUCUGAAGAAGGCAGUUGACCAGCGCAACCGGGCCCUCGUGUGCCUCAAUGAAGCCAUGAACGUGAGCUGCGUCCUGCUAGCGAGCCGCGAGGGCCCCAGGCCCAUCUCGUGUACCACUGCCACCGCCUGGAGCCGCGCGCAGCUGCAGGACGUGCUGACGGCCACCUGCCGGCUGCAGAACAGCAGCGGCUUCAGGCUGGACCGGGGCUGGGCCUGGUGUGUGCAGGUGCGUACCUGCUCCCGCGCCUCAGACCCAGACUCGGCCGGCUCGGCCACCACCUACACCAUCCCCGUGGACCGGCUGGGCCCCGGCGACCGGCGGGAGGUGACGCUGCCCCUGGGUCCCGGUGAGGACGGCGCGCUGGACCUGCCUGUGACGGUGUCCUGUGCGCUCCACUACAGCCUCAGGGAGGUUGUGGGUGGGGCCCUCGCCCCCCCAGACUCUUCCGAGGACCACUCCUUGGAAGGGUGCCCCCCCGACAUGUUGCCUGAGCAAGACGGCGUCUGCCUGCCCCUGAGCGAGCACACCGUGGACGUGCUGCAGUGCCUGCGCUUUCCUGGCCUGGCCGCGCCCCCCACGCAGGCCCCCAGCCCGCACAGCCCCACUGGCGACCCUGUGGACACCUUCUUGGGAGCGCGCCUCGGGCCGGGCAGCGAGCCGGCCGGACCUGCCUCCCUGCGGGCCAAGUUCCCGCCCCCGUCGGUGGCCACCAUCAAGGUGUCAGCAGGGCUUCUGAGGGCCGCCCUGGGGGACGGUCAGCCAGGCGUGUCCCUGGGCUGUACCACCCUGCAGUGGCUGCUUGCCGAGAACAGCGCCCUGGACGUUGUGAGGGCCCGACUGCUGUCCUCCGUCCGGGGAGUGGCCCCCGACGGCACUGACCUCCACCUUGUCGUCCGAGAGGUGACGGUGACCCACCUGUGCGCGGCAGGGCCCAUGCAGGCCGUGGAGAUCCAAGUGGAGAGCUCCUCCCUGGCCAAUCUGUGCCAGGCACACCAUGCUGUCAUUGGGCGUCUGCAGGUGAGCUGUGGGCAGCUGAGGGGUGAGUAGGGCAGCUUUGCUGAUGGCACUUCAGUAACGCACCGCCAUCUGGUGUGCCGGCGGCCCCCCAGCGCGUCCACGAACCCACGUGGGCACUGCGUCAAAAGAGGACGGUCCGUGUGCUACCUGUCACGCUCACGUGCAGGCCUCCCAACUUGCCUGGCUGUGCCGAGAGGCCGUGCCCUGGCGAGAUGCCCCGAACGUGGGUCCUGGGACAAGGUGCCUACACUCUGAGCUUCCACAUCUCUGCCAAGAAAGCAGGAGUGACGGCCAACCUCUCACACGCCUUUGGGGCCCGUUUUGCCACCUGGCAUGGGAUGAGCUGUCACAUUGCUGUCCUCGGGUUCCAGAUGAAACCUGCCACCUGGUGCCCUUGGCGGGACAGAGCUCUGGCUCCGAGGUUGGCCGGCCUAUCUCCUCCCACCUGUUCUGAACGAGGCCUUGACAGUCAUAGAGGGGUCUGCGGUGGUAACCGUCGGCCGAUGGUGACAGCUCUGCGGUAUGGCUCGGGAACCAGCCUCCCCCUGGAACUUACCAGAGCACGUUCCCAGGCCCCAUCCCAGACCUGGGAAUCGGAGAACCCGCGGUCUUGGCGUUUAGGCUUUGACGAGGACCUGAGUGGUGGUGGUCUAGACUCUCCAGUGCACCCUGGGGAGCCUGGAGCCCUCACCAGCCCAGGCAGGUGGGCGCUACUCAGGAGCCUGUGACCCCAGCGGUCCCCCCACGCAACACUGAUGGCACAUGUCCCCACCGUGGCACAUGUGGUUCAGGGAUCUAGUCCUGAGUGUGUCGAGCUGUCAGAGGGAUGUGGGCCUGGUGGGGACACCAGCCCCCGGAUUGGUUCUUGUUCCCUGUGCCCAGAGAGGGGCCUCUUCGACCGUCCUCUCGCACCUGCCAGGCCGUCUCCAGACAUGCCGAGCACGGCAGCCAGGAGGUUGACGCUUAACGUGGCACUCGGGAAGGAGCGUGCUGACCCGACCACUGGCAGGGAGGGGACGUUCGUGUCCAGGUGCCACGACAACCACAGCCUGGUCACGAACGGCAGGAAUUGCGUGCUGGAGGCUGAGGCCUCUCCGUGGUGCACAGACAGCCGUGUUCUCCUGUGUCUUUCCGCGGCUGUCCUCUGUGCACGUCUGCACGCUUCUUACAAGGACGCCGCUCACGUCGGUUUAGGGCCCACCCACGUGGCCUCCUCUUCCCUUGUUCGUUGGCAAAGACCCCAGCUCGGAGGACAGUCAUGUGCUGAGCUGCUGGGGGCAGCUUCCACGUAUGGAUCUGGGGGCAGGUUUGGCUCCUAACAGGGAGCUGCAGACGCUCCCUUGAUAGGAACGUUCAGGCAGACUGCAGGCCACGGUCUGUCCUGUCAGCCGACACCGUGCCCCACGUAACGGUCGGCCCCCCCCUCCCCCCGCCACAUGGUCUUCCUGUAGCGGCUGCCGCAGAGGCUGGUGGGGCCUCGCCGCCCGAGCCCGAGCCUGUCUGGGGGCUUGGAUCUGAGCUCCCAGGAGCUGCCUGGGUUUCCCCAGAAAGCAAAUGGGGCAGGUCGGGUGGCCCCCGCGAGGGCAGCAGCUGGCGCCAGUCCUGACACCAAGGAGGAGAGAAGGGCUCUGCGAGGACAAGGGAGGGAGUGGGCAGCAGAGGAACGGGGAGCGAGAAGGACGUUCCUUCCAAGUAACCUGCUGGGGCCGCAGCAGACCAUGCAGCGGGGCUCUUGGAGGUGAUGGGGCCCCAGGCACCCCCUCCAGAUGGGAGGUGGGAAGUGUCCUCUCCAACCACCUGCCCCUUGUCCCCCCACCAGAGGAUGGUUGUGGAACAGGCCGCCCACAGCUCCAGCCCACCCGACCUCCGUGUUCAGUAUCUCCACCAGAUCCAGGUCAACCACGAGACUCUGCUGCGGGAGGUGCAGACCCUGCGGGACCGCCUGAGCACAGAUGAUGAGGCCAGCUC